RNAcentral lists this small RNA (80 nucleotides) under Flavobacterium frigidimaris. RNAcentral describes it as "Flavo-1 RNA". It matches the Rfam family "Flavo-1 RNA". The record is from RNAcentral. Lineage: Bacteria; Pseudomonadati; Bacteroidota; Flavobacteriia; Flavobacteriales; Flavobacteriaceae.
CCCUAGCCCUGAUAGAAGGGAAAAUCCUUUUUUAUCUGCCACUGCGGAUAAAAAAGAUUGGAAUGAUAGCAGGAAUAGCU